RNAcentral lists this transfer RNA (75 nucleotides) under Canis lupus familiaris (dog). It matches the Rfam family "tRNA". Rfam says of the family: Transfer RNA (tRNA) molecules are approximately 80 nucleotides in length. Their secondary structure includes four short double-helical elements and three loops (D, anti-codon, and T loops). RNAcentral also lists the same sequence under 1 other name. The record is from Rfam by way of RNAcentral. Lineage: Eukaryota; Metazoa; Chordata; Mammalia; Carnivora; Canidae.
GCCUGGGUAGCUCAGUGGUUGAGCGUCUGUCUUCAGCGCAGGGUGUGAUCCCGGGAUCGAGUCCCGCAUCGGGCU